ACUUAAUAAUGUUUCCAUGUCUCUUUUAGGUUGACCACCCUAUAUAUGAGAGCCUAAGGAGUUGUUUUCCCUCUGUCCCCUUUUGAGGACCUGCUUUGUCUCCUCCAUCAUUCACUGGGCCACUUUUGGGUUCCUGAGCUUAUUUCAUGUGGUCAUGAAUUUGGUGAGGAGUGGAGCUGGCUGGCUGCGGACGAGGAAGUAGGGCAAUAUAUACAUGUGCACAUACACGUAUAUGAGAAUGCAUAUCUAUUCAGACCUGUAAUUCAUGUCUUAGACUUUUUCACACAGCUAUAGAUCAUUAUUUGUUUUUCAAUUCUCUAUUUAUGGUUUCAUAAUGACUGAGUCACCGUUAAAACAAAUGAGUUUCAGCUCUAAUGCUGCUACUGUCUGUAAUAUGUUUCUAUUUAGAUUAUUUGUCAGGAUAUUUUGUUAUUAUUGUCCGAGUCUGGUUUUAACUAAUGCUGGGCUUACACCAAAAGAUUUUCACAGUCACAGACUAAAAACUGAAAGGGUAGCAUGAGGGUUCUUCCCGUUAGUCUCGUCCCACCCCUAGUCAUGACAUAACUUCUGUUGUGAUUUGACACUAUAAUGAAUAAAGACUGAUUGAUUGAU
Dicentrarchus labrax (European seabass) is the source of this 612-nucleotide long non-coding RNA. RefSeq lists it as uncharacterized. The transcript is spliced from 2 exons. The record is from RefSeq and is a predicted model, not a curated record. NCBI's taxonomy places the organism in Eukaryota, Metazoa, Chordata, Actinopteri, Moronidae.